This 360-nucleotide long non-coding RNA is filed under the name Sorghum bicolor (sorghum). Its description in RNAcentral is "long non-coding RNA (SBIC_LNC010318)". Lineage: Eukaryota; Viridiplantae; Streptophyta; Magnoliopsida; Poales; Poaceae. The record is from RNAcentral.
UAAGCUUGUCCUUGGGAAACCAUCAAUUUAUGUCAGCAAAGUGGUUUCCCCUCCAACGCUGACCCAUAUCAAGAUCAACUCAACGAGAUUUGCAAUAUUUAAUAUAGAUAUAUGCAUCGACAACCGCCCUUUUAAAGUUUUUAUAAAUAGAAAGGAAGAGGGGGUUGGAGAUCUCGAAUGUGGUGAUGUUGGAGAGACCAAAAGAUUGGGAAGAUGUUGCAUAUGACCAUGGAGCAAAUGAAGUGGCUACAAAAUAAAUUCCAUGCUCAUUAAUGCUUGGAGUGAAAUCCAUGUGGUGUGGUGAAAAUGGUAAGGUGAGUGUGGUAAAAAAAGAAAAGAAAAAGGAUACAUGGACGACUU